UACGUAGGUGGCAAGCGUUGUCCGGAUUUAUUGGGCGUAAAGCGAGCGCAGGCGGAAAGAUAAGUCUGAUGUGAAAGCCCCCGGCUUAACCGAGGAAUUGCAUCGGAAACUGUGUUUCUUGAGUGCAGAAGAGGAGAGUGGAACUCCAUGUGUAGCGGUGGAAUGCGUAGAUAUAUGGAAGAACACCAGUGGCGAAGGCAGCAUACCGGCGCCCGACUGACGCUGAGGCACGAAAGUGCGGGUAUCGAACAGG
This 253-nucleotide ribosomal RNA is filed under the name uncultured Lactobacillus sp. Its description in RNAcentral is "partial 16S ribosomal RNA". It matches the Rfam family "Bacterial small subunit ribosomal RNA", at positions 524 to 776 of the family's 1533-position model. The record is from RNAcentral. Lineage: Bacteria; Bacillati; Bacillota; Bacilli; Lactobacillales; Lactobacillaceae.